UCCUUCAUAGUGUAGUGGUCAGCACGCUUGACGCUUAUUCGAGAGGUCCGUGGUUCAAGUCCCGGUGAUGGCA
RNAcentral lists this transfer RNA (73 nucleotides) under Stegodyphus mimosarum. It matches the Rfam family "tRNA". From Rfam's summary of the family: Transfer RNA (tRNA) molecules are approximately 80 nucleotides in length. Their secondary structure includes four short double-helical elements and three loops (D, anti-codon, and T loops). Lineage: Eukaryota; Metazoa; Arthropoda; Arachnida; Araneae; Eresidae. The record is from Rfam by way of RNAcentral.